Molecule: non-coding RNA, 959 nt
Filed under: Macaca mulatta (Rhesus monkey)
Lineage: Eukaryota; Metazoa; Chordata; Mammalia; Primates; Cercopithecidae
Source: Rfam by way of RNAcentral
AAACAGACAGGUUUGGUCCUAGCUUUCCUAUUAACUCUUAGCAAGAUUACACAUGCAAGUAUCCCCGCCCCAGUGAAAACACCCUCUAAAUCACCACAAUCAAAAGGAGUAAGUAUCAAGCACGUAUAACGCAGCUCAAAACACUUUGCUCAGCCACACCCCCACGGGAAACAGCAGUGACAAACCUUUAGCAAUAAACGAAAGUUUAACUAAGCUAUGCUGCACCCACGGUUGGUUAAUUUCGUGCCAGACACUGCGGCCAUACGAUUAACCCAAGCUGAUCGAAACCGGCGUAAAGAGUGUUUUAGAUCUAUUUUAAUAAAGCUAAAUUCCAUCUAAGUUGUAAAAAACACCAGCUGACGUAAAAUAAACUACGAAAGUGGCUUUAAAGCUUCUGAAUAUACAAUAGCUAAGAUCCAAACGGAUUAGAUACCCCACUAUGCUUAGCCCUAAACCUCAAUAGUUAGAACAACAAAACUACUCGCCAGAAUACUACAAGCAACAGCUUGAAACUCAAAGGACUUGGCAGUGCUUCAUAUCCCUCUAGAGGAGCCUGUUCUAUAAUCGAUAAACUCCGAUUCACCUCACCACCUCUCGCCUAGUCUAUAUACCGCCAUCCUCAGCAAACCCUAAUAAAGGUUAUAAAGUAAGCAUAAGUGCCCCCGCAAAAACGUUAGGUCAAGGUGUAGCUUAUGAGGUGGUAAGAAAUGGGCUACAUUUUCUACCCCAGAAAACCCCACAAUAGCUCUUAUGAAAUCUAAGAGCCCAAGGAGGAUUUAACAGUAUAUUAAGAGCAGAGUGCUUAAUUGAAUAAGGCCAUAAAGCACGCACACACUGCCCGUCACCCUCCUCAAAUAUAUUUAAGGAUCAACUUAACUAAACACCCCUCAUAUCUAUAUAGAGGAGAUAAGUCGUAACACGGUAAGUGUACUGGAAAGUGCACUUGGAUAAACCAAGGC